This is a long non-coding RNA of Syngnathoides biaculeatus (alligator pipefish), 2858 nucleotides long. RefSeq lists it as uncharacterized. The transcript is spliced from 9 exons. The record is from RefSeq and is a predicted model, not a curated record. Lineage: Eukaryota; Metazoa; Chordata; Actinopteri; Syngnathiformes; Syngnathidae.
CUCAGGGCAUUGAAAAUUGACCUUUCCAAUAAGGCCGCCGCGUCGGUUAGCUGAGCUCUACGUUGUGCCGACCUAUCUAGCUUCAUAUCUAUGUGUUUGGAAACAAGUCCUGGACGCACUUGCGCCUGCGCACAUCGUAAACAAAUCAUAUGCGUUACAUAAAGAAACUUAUGUAACGCACACGAUUUCACAACAUUGGGAGCAUUUUUCCACGACGACACUUUUAUUAUGUUCUUAACUAAAAUAAGACGACCUCAUGACAAAAGCCGUAGCGUUACCGAUUGCAGUCGACCAACAAAAAGAGAAGUUAUGCGAAAAAGGACAGGAUAAAAGUUUGCGCACAAGUCGGGAGUGCGUUUGUUGUCCGAGAUGCACAAAAUGGAGGAAAUUGGUCGUCCUUACAAGCGAUGACAAGAGGAAGGAAACCGCCUCACCGCUUGGUCCCAGUCGUCAAUUUCCAGCCUGAAAAAUCUGGGUCCAAACCCAUGGGCCGUCACAUGAUCACCCCCAUUGGAAGUUAAUCUUUAAUACAAAUCUCUAUCGCGAUAAUUCCAUAUUAAAUAUGGUAGUCGUUUGUGUGUGUGGUGGCGCCCCCUGUACGUAGUGUGUAGUGUGACAACUGGCAUGCAAACAGGUGGAGUUGAUUGGGAUGGCGCCAUGAUGUAGUUCAGGUUCCCAAACGGAAGAGGGCGGUGUUGGCUCGUCGAAAAUGGCGCUCGGGAAUUUGAUACCGGAAAGUAACAACAGAAGAUGUUCCUCACGGGGCUGAGGCUUUGGGUCUGCACUGGGACCAGCAGCCAAACUUUUUUCAUCCGGUUGUGGGAGUCAAUUGUGAUUUACAGGUUGUCAGAAGUUGCCCGCGAGUGCCCACCGUGCCCGACGUCGCCUGGUGACUGAGAAACGCCGGCGAGUCUUCCGAUGCUUGAAGCUGCCACAGUCAUCUGUUGAAACAUCCAUCCAUUAUCCAAGCCGCUUGUCCUCACAAGGGUCACGGGAGAGCUGGAGCCUAACCCAGCCAGCUUCGGGCAAAAAGCGGACUCCACCCUGAACUGGUCCGCCAGUCAGUCGCAGGGCAGAUGCGUUGAAACAUUAUGGGAACGUUGAAGCUGGUAAGAAAGUGUCAUCGUCCGCAAUGAAACGAGUCGUGGACCAGGAAUGAAGCCGUUACGCUGAAAGAAAAAGACACCGAGACGAAGAUGUCCUGUGGUCUGGUGAAACUAAAGUUGGAGCUGUUUGCCCAUCAGGACCAACGUUACAAAAGAGGAAAAAGAACACCGGACCAACUGUGAAGCACGGAGGUGGCAUCAUAUUGUUUUGACGCUGGUUUACUGCGGCGGGAACUGGAGCUCUUCAGAAAAUAGGCGGCGCGUCAUGAAGAACGAACAUUACACGGAGACAUUGCUGAUAUUACAAUGUCUCCAAAAAUAGUUCACAAGUGGCUUGAAGGGGAUAAAGUCAAUGUCUCGGACUGGCCCUGAUCUGAAUCGCACGGGAAAAAUUUGGAGGCGGAUUUGAAAAGGGUUGCGCCGGCAAGGCCACCGACAAACCUGACUCGGGAAGAAGAUUUUGGGAUUCCAGCGGAGUACUGUCAGAAGCUCGCCCAAGGGAAGGGGAAAGGACUUCGGCGGGGGGAUCAUAAAGGCCUCCCGCCUCCUCUUGAGCACCGCGGCGGUAUGUCGUUUGGCCUCGGGAGUCGGAGGAGGGAUGCCGGCGCCGUUAUCGGGCGCUCACCUCUGGGUGACAUCUGUCCGUAGUCCCGUGAAGUCACACCUACUUGAGAAUUGCAGAACUGAAGGACGCCAGGACCACGUUGACAUUUUUGUGCCAAUCCAAUCCAAUCCAAGCCAAGCCACGCGAGGACAUGGAGAAGACUCCGACGACGCUGGCCCGCUGCUUUCUGCGUCACCAAACUUCAACCGUCCCACCGGAUCACCGUUUGAGCACGGCCGUCAGUCGUCAUGGAAACCGCUCGGGUUCCCCGCUGCGUUUGACGGGACGGCGCCGGCUCUGGUCCUGCAAUGGGAAAUGAUGAAGGUAGCGAGCGGACUUACAGGGGUUCAUUGUACUGUUUACUGGGGUGUCGCGCGCGGUCACAAGAAAUCCAUUCCGAGCUGCGACGGUGGCAGGAGUGGGGCCCCCACCCACCGACGCCCACGCGGAGGUCUUCGGUCACCUGGCGCCCGCCAACCUAACAAGCGCCAAGUAUGGUAUGUAAAAAGCGGGCGGGGCUUGGACCUGAAGGAGGACUUGGCGGCCCCCUCGGUGCGAGAUUUGGCUUUAAUUACAUUUGGAAAAGAGCUCCAUCAUAUUUGGAAGAGAAAACUCAGGUGGGCGUCCCGACUCUGAAAGUCAUCGACUUCAUCCCCUUCUAUGUCGUUUGGGGGGGGAUGCCCGCGGGGCUUCGUGCGGUUGGACGUCACACACCGACGUUGUGAACACGGCGCCGAAGGGCAGACCGGGUCGCCGCCAAGGAAACGCCUCGUGACUUCUUUUCCCAGAUCGUCGAUUUGCCUUUGUUUGGCGGUCGUCCCGCCACCGCCGGCGUUGGUCUUGUGCUCCUCGGACGGGCCCGAGCGAUGUUUGGAAGCGUCGGCGUGCGUAUUGACGAGCUUGCUUUGCGUGGGCCCCCCCCCCCCCCACUGCUCAUCUGCAAACCACGUCUUUUCUGGAAGACACCCACAGAUCGUGACGUCAUCGUACGAGAGGCCAAGUUUUCUGCUUGUCCCGGGGGUCCCGGCCCUUGCUCCGAUUGGCCCGGUUGACGGCGGCGACGGAGCGCGGCGACGAGCUCUUCUUGCCGGACGAGCGCGAGAGGCCCGUCCGCGACUGGCCGGCGUUGUGGUCGAACUGCACGAGGC